This 440-nucleotide ribosomal RNA is filed under the name uncultured bacterium. Its description in RNAcentral is "partial 16S ribosomal RNA". It matches the Rfam family "Bacterial small subunit ribosomal RNA", at positions 338 to 795 of the family's 1533-position model. The record is from RNAcentral.
CCUACGGGAGGCAGCAGUGGGGAAUAUUGCACAAUGGGGGAAACCCUGAUGCAGCGACGCCGCGUGAGUGAAGAAGUAUUUCGGUAUGUAAAGCUCUAUCAGCAGGAACGAGACAAGACGGUAACUGACUAAGAAGCCCCGGCUAACCACGUGCCAGCAGCCGCGGUAAUACGCAGGGGGCAAGCGUUAUCCGGAAUCACUGGGUGUAAAGGGAGCGUAGACGGCUGUGCAAGCCUGAAGUGAAAGGCGGGGCCCAACCCCUGGACUGCUUUGGGAACUGUACGGCUGGAGUGCAGGAGAGGUAAGUGGAAUUCCUAGUGUAGCGGUGAAAUGCGUAGAUAUUAGGAGGAACACCAGUGGCGAAGGCGGCUUACUGGACUGUAACUGACGUUGAGGCUCGAAAGCGUGGGGAGCAAACAGGAUUAGAUACCCCAGUAGUC